AAGUUCCUCUCUUGGGAGGAGAACGUCCUUCUCUGUGCUGAGAGCGGGAGUUUGACUGUAUCUCUCUGAGUCUCCUUUAGGAAAAAGCGAGUUAGAAUGGCAUGGUUUUCAAAUACAAGUUUCCUGGGAAAGUAAUUUUCAAGGACCACUUCCGAUUUGGACCGCGUUGGGCUCCAUAGCAACCCUGGGCGUUGACUGGCAUGUGAUCUCGGUAUCCUGUGCAGUUCAGGGAAAGCGUACCAAAAAAAUUCCUGCCAAACGAAGGAAGCUGAUGUUUGGAGCCUAGGUUCCAUCCCACACCAUGGGGGAGCCCUGUGCACAUCGUGGAGGCCCAUCCUACAAGUGCAAGUGGUCAUCACUCACUCUCCUGUGAGCAGUCACCCCCUGACACACCUAAAAGGAGGACAGACACAGGGAAGAGACCCACUCAGUCAGGAAAAAGGAUCAGAAAGAGUUCAUAUUCGCACAGAAUGAACAUCAGCAAGCAUUUGCAGUUUUGCAGGGCUAUGCUCACUCUUCAGCCUCCCGUCAUAACACAGUCUGAAGAGGACUGGAGCACGUGGACAGCCUAUGUAACCACACAUUGACCCAUUAUGUCAAUGAUAUGCUGCUCAGGCAGGAUGAGGAAGUGGUGGAGCGCACGCUAGAAGCUCCAGGCAGUGGGAGAGAAAUCCUAUGAAGAUUCAGUGACCUGCCACUUCUCUAAGGAUUCUGAAAAGUCUGAUGGCCAGCAGCGUGCUGGGACAUGUCCUCCUAAUUAAAGACAACUUUCUGCACCUGGCAUCCCUUACUGGAAGAAAGGAAGCACAAAGCCCAUUAGGCUUCUUUAAGUUCUUGAGGAAACACAUUCUACACCAAAGAAAACUACCCCUACACCCUGGGCUGCAUGGAAGUCUGCCAGCUUUGAGUGGACCUGGAGAGGGAAAAAUAACGCAGCAGUAUGUCCAGCCUGUGAUAUCAACAGCACUGCUGCCUGGACCUUACAAUCUGGCAGGGCCUAUAGUGUUGGAGUGUCAGUGAUGGAACAAUAUGUAGCGUGACGUUUAUGACAAGUCUCAAUAAAAGAAUCACAAAGAAGACCCCUGGGAUUAUGGAACAAGGUAAUGCCAACUGCUGGGAAGAAUUACUCCUUUUGAAAAACAGCUCCUAGCUUGCUACUGGGCCUUGGUAGAGAUACUAAAUGACUUUGGGCUCAGAUUGGCCAUCACGAGCUAGGUCCUAUUGGACAGAUCAAUUUAUACAGGCAGGCCCAGCAUCAGAGUCAUCACAGGAUAAAACAGGUGCAUCUGGGACUAAGCAUAAGCAGGACCAGGAGGUACAAUAAGCUGUAAGAGCAUGUAGCCCAGAUCUCCAUGUCACUCAUUACGGUUGCACUGGCACCCCUCCCCUAGCCUAGACCUGUGGCUGUGUGAGGGGGAUCCCAUAUAACCAGCAAAAGGAAGAAGAAAAAGAAUACACUGGGCUCAUUGGUGGGUCACUUCAGUAUGUGGGUACAAGCUGAAAAUGGGUGGUGGCUGUAUUACAGUCUCGCUCAGAGGAGGCCUUGAAGAACAGUGGUGAAGGAAAAUCUCACCAACAGGAGGAGCUUUGAGAUGUGCACCUGGUCAUCCACUUGGUGCGGAAGGAGAAUGGACCAAGGUUACAACAAAUGUGGACUCAUGGACAGUGAUGAGUGGCCUGGCUGGUGGGCGGAGGACCUGAAGAAAAAGACUGUAAAAUCAGAAACAAGAAGAUUUGAAGUAGAGGCAUGUGGAUGGACAUAGGGGAGUGGACACAAAGUGGGAAGAUGUUUGUCUCACAUGUUAAGGCCCACGAGUAAGCGUCUAUCAUGAAAGGUGUGCCAACUAGACAAAAUAAUAUGGCUGGUUAGUGCAGCCAGCCUUGGUCAGAGCCCCUCUCUCACCACUGCUGCAUGCUGGGGACCUGAACAAAGAGGCUAGGGUGGCAGAGAUGGAGGCAAUAAAAAAACGUAACAGCUUGGACUGUCAUUUGCCAAAAUGAAUACAGCUACUGCCACCUCUAAAUGUCCAGUCUGCCCGCCAUAAAGGCGAAUGCUAAGCUCUAUUCCUUAAUAGGAUACUCGGUGACCAGUUGACUACAUUGGGCCUUUUUUUUAUUUUCCUGGAAGAGCCAGAGGUAUGCUCUUUCAGGAACUGACACUGAUUCCAGGUACAGGGUUGCUUUUCCUGCCUGCAGGACCUCAGUAGCCCCAGUCUCUGGGGACUUACAGAUUGCCUGAUCCACAGACAUGGAAUCCCACAUAACACAGCAUCUGACCAGAAGCCUCUCUCCUUCACAGGAGAUAGGGGAGUGAGCCCACAAACAUGGGAUCUGCUGGUCAUAUCACACACCCAGUGACCUUGAAGUUGCUGGAUAGACAAAAUAUUGGAAUGACUAGUUAAAGACGCAGCUGAAGCUCCAGCAGGAGGCAACACAAUGCAAUGAUGACACUUCCUCCAAGACAUCAUGGUAUAUUUCUUCAAUCAGAUAGAUUAGUAUGGUGCUGUGUCUGCAACAGAAUCUUAAGUUUUUAAAAAAUUUAUUAUUAUUAUUUUUAAUGAAGGUACUGGGGAUUGAAUCCAGGGCCUCGUGCAUGCUAAAUAUGUGCUCUUCCACUGAGCUACUUCACUCACCCCCUCCACCCCAACCAAUAGAAAGAAUACAUGUGUCUUCCACAAUGGGUGGGAGUAUGAGUGGCUCCAGUUAGCAUCAUUCCAAUGACCUACUGGGGAGGAAGAAAUUUUCCUCUACCCUCCUGGCUGGCCUAAGAAUUAAAUUGACAUGAGGCAGAUUAACAGGAGAAAAGUCAAAGUUUAAUAACACAUAUACUUGGGAGAGACCCAGGAAAACUGAGUAACUCCUCAAAAUGGCUGAAACCCUCACUUUGAAUACCAUCUUCAGCUAAGGACAAAAGAGGGUGUUGGGAGUAGUGGUUUGGGACUUCGAGGGGGAGGAAGGCAAUCCACAUACAGGUGGAAAAGCAAAUAUUUGGUAAAUAAAUGUUUGCUGGGUCAUGCAGAGACAAUGGGAUGCAGAGUGGACUCUAAUCUCUAGACCCUGUUUAGAGUUUGCCCCACCAUAGCGAGCCCAUGUUCUUUGCAGGUGUCUCUGGUGAUAGCUCUAUUCUGGGAACAGGCCCUCUAUCUAAAUUUUUUUUAGGCAAUUAGGGGGAAGGUCAUGUUACGGAAAUGACAGGCCAGCCAAGAGACAAGCACCACUCGGAGGGCUGGAGUACUCAGGUUUAUUAUGCUGGCGGGCUCAGAGGGGCUAUUGCUCCGGGGCUCUGAGCACCUCUAACACGUGUGCGUGAGGUUUUAUAGGGUAGAUUACAAGCUUGGGGUAUACUGGCCAAUAAGGUGCAAAGAGCUCAGCAAUAUCACAAAAGGGAAGCAGGGAAUCAGUAAACUAGAACUUAUCUAAUAAGAACAGAUCAGUUACCGACACUAAUUAAACUUAGAUUUACGAGUUAACCCAGCAGAACUCGGAUCAGUAAUCUGACACUUGUUAAACUUAGAUUUACGAGUUAGCCCAGCAGAACUCAGAUCAGUAAUCCAACACUUCUUAAACUUAGAUUUACGAGUGGGCCCAGCCUGGCUUUUCCUUCUCAGUCAAAGUUUCUUCCUGAGUCUUUUUUGGGCUUUGAUUAUUUUCAGCUCAAAAUGAUCUGCACAACAAAGAGACAUUUUAGGGUGGCAAGUUUUGCUCCCUUACAAACUCACUGGCCUUCCCUGUCCCCAGAAGUCUCAGCUCUGCAAAAUUAGGGGUCUUAGUCCCGGAAAGGGGCACUUUCUUGCCUGGGGACACAGCAAAGAUCCCACUGGACUACAAGCUAUGGCUGCCACCAGGCACUUUGGCCUCCUAAUGGUGAGGGACCAGCAGGUAAGACAGGGAAUCAUUGUCUUAUGAAAGGUGAUUGGCCUGUUCAGCAGGAGGAGGUAGGACUGCUGUUAGAGGGGAUGGGGAGGAAUAUGUGUGAACUCCAGUGAGAUUGGAGAGUCAGUUGGUAUUCCUUUGCCCAGCCAUGUCUGUGAACGGACAAGACAAGAGCAGCAGCCAUGCUCUGAGAAGGUGCUCAGACCUCUAAGGAAUGAGGGUUUGGGGUACCCACCCAGGUGAGCUACCAAGACCCCCUUAGGGUGAGGGGAAUUAGAAAUGGUUUGGGGGAUUGAGCCAAGAUGGUGGAGUAGAGAGACUCACAGCUCGCCCUCUCCCACAAAUACACCAAGAAUUACAUCUACAAACCCAAUGAGUCGCACACAACACCUACUGAAUUCUGGCAGAGUGUCUCUUAUUCCAAAAUAUAGGAUUAUCACAAAAUCAAGUGAGAAAAAAAAAGAAAAAAUUGGUGCAGGACUGGUCCUGCAGGGAGGGAGCGGCAUAGGAAGAAAAGCGCCCUCAUGCUGGGACGUCCCUUCUCCAGCUAGGAGGUCAGCAGGGACCGAACUGGAGCUUCCAAGGAUCAGAGGAGAAAGUGGCAACUGAUUGGCAGACAGAACUAAGGGAAACAGACACUGAGGGUCCCUGCGAUCCCCAGCCCUAGACAUGAGCCGGCAAGGACUGGCUGCUUGAGAUCAGCGAUGAGCCAGGGAGAGGCUGGGGCCUACUGCGUGGAGGCGGCCUCAGGGGACUGGAGGGCGGUGUGAGCCCUGGCUGGGGGUGUGCGCAGAACAGAACAGCCUGGGAGCCUCCCAUAAAAGAGCACCACUGCUGGUGUGUGUUGGCGGGGAGGCGCGCAGUGCAGCCAGGCCAUAUCCGCUGUCUCCACUUGGCUCCAUUGCUGGUGUGUUCUCAUGAGAAGAGAGGUGGGGCUGGGUCAUAGCCAUUGCUGCUGAGAGGAGGCGGGGCUGAAAGCUGAAUCCAUCCCCAGGGGCCCUGCAACUUCACCAGGCGGGACUGAGAUUUGUUUACAGCCUAAGGCAGAGCAAGUGGAUUUGCUCUCUUUGGACCCUUUGUGAACCUGCACCCCUGGGAUGAAGAGGCAGUGAGCAGAGUUCUAACGCAGGGUGGAGGUUUACGGAUAUUUACAACAAGCCAGUGUACCUUAGGUACGUGGAGGCAGGGCUGGGGUCUGCACUGAACCUGUGGUGCACCACAGAUUCAGAUAUGUGACUGCACGCUUGCUAUGGUGGGUCCUAGUGCCUGACAUUGGUGGAUCUGCACUGGUGGUUCCUGGGACUCAGAAUCUGCGGGACACCAGAGCAGGUGGCUGACAUUACCACAGCUUGGGCAAGAACAAAGGCAGUGUCAACAAAUAAUACUUUGUAAGCCUGCAUAACAAGUGACAGACAACACCACAGAGGGCACAUCUCAGUGGACAUCUGCCUACUCUUCUUCUCAGCUGAAGCCUGCAUACUACACACCACAGCUCAGAAAUGGGUUUAGAAGCCUCUGUUCCAGGGGAGCAGAUGAGGACCCUGUCAAGGCUGUGACAACCACAGCACAAAAAAAGAGGCCUCACCCAAUAACAACAAUCAGGGCAGGCUCUGAUCACGACAACACCAACCACAUUCCCAAUCAAAGGGAUAACAGCCAAUACACAUGGAGGAAAGAAGAGGCAACCAUCCAUACUAAGAACAGCCAUUGCAACAAAACCAUUAGAUGGACACAGUUUACACAAGAAUGCUCCCACUUUAAAUAAAAACAAACAAACAAAAAAUAAAAAAGCCCUUCAAGACCACAGUAGAUAAUUGAUACUCCUAAAUUCAUAGAGCCAGAGAAAUAUAGGUAAAAUGAAGAAGCAGAAGAACCACUCCCAAUUAAAAGAACAAGAGAAGUCCCUUGAAAGAAUGAACAAUGAGAUAUCUACUAGAUCAUGACUUCAAAAGGGAAUGAUAAAAGCACUGAAGGAACUAAGAGAGAUUAUGAAUAGAAACAAAGAAUACUAUGAAAUAAGGAAAUUGAAACUAUAAAGAAGAGCCAAUUAAAAACAGAAAACUCAAUUUUUGAGAUAAGAGCCAAGCUAAAGGCAAUAAAAAGCAGACUAGAUAAUGCAGAGGAAUGAAUAAGUGACUUAGAAGACAGAAUAACAGAAGUCAUCCAAUCAGAAUGGCAGACAGAAAAGCAAGCAAAAAUCUAUGAAAGCAAUAUAAAGGACCUAUGGGGUAAUAUAAAGCAUGCCAAUCUACACACAAUAGGGGUCCCAGAAGGAGAAGAAAGAGAAAAGGAGAUUGAAAAGGGAUUCGAGGAAAUCAUGACUGAAAACUUUCCAGACCUAAAGAAGGAAUUAGGUAACUAAGUACAGGAGGCACAGAGGGUUCCAAACAAGAAGAACUCAAACAGAUCUACACCAAGACAUAUUAUAAUUAAGAUGGCCAAAGUUAAAGGAAUAAUUCUAAAGACAGCAGGAGAAAAACAAAGAGUUAGUUACAAGGGAACCGCCAUAAGACUUUUAGCUGAUUUCUCUGCACAGACACUGCUGGCCACAAGGGAGUGGCAAGAUAAAUUCAAAGUCCUGAAUGAGAAAAGGCUGCAACCUAGGAUACUUUAUCCAGCAAGGCUAUCCUUUAGAAUAGAAGGAGAGAUGAAGAAUUUCACAGACAAGCAAAAACUAAAAGAAUUCAGCAAAACUAAACCUAUACUAAAAGAAAUAUUGAAAGGUCUACUCUAAAUAGAAAAGCAGCAGGAAGCUAUAGAAAUGAGAAAACCAUAAUUGGAAAUGUGAUAACUACAAUGAGUUGCAAGAGAAUAAACACAAGGAUGUGAAAAAAUAAAUAGAAAUAAAGAAUAUCAAAAUCAUAGCAGGUGGGAGAGGGGAGCAAGAAAAUAUAGACUUUUUUUUCCCCUCUCUCUCUCUUUUUUUUCUUCAUUCUCUUUAGGAUGUGUUUGAGCCUACAUGACUACCAGUCUAAAGCAAACAGUUAUAGUAAGGGGUAAAUAUACUUAAAAAACAGGGUAACCACAAAUCAAAAGCAUACAAUGGAGUCACAAAAACCAAAAAGAAACCAAGCUAACACAAAAGAAAAUUAUGAAACCACAAAAAGGAAUAGGAAGAAACAAAGAAGAAAUAUCAAAUCAACUGGAAAACAAAGUUCAAAAUGGCAACUAAUACACAUCUAUCAAUAAUUACUAUACUCCACAGCCUCUCCAGCAUUUGUUAUUUGCGGACUUUUGAAUGAUGGCCAUUCUGACUGGUGUGAGGUGACACCUCAUUGUAGUUUUGAUUUGCAUUUCUCUGAUAAAUAGUGAUAUUGAGCAUUUUUUUCAUGUGCUUUUUGGUCAUUUGUAUUUCUUCCUUGGAGAAUUGCUUGUUUAGGUCUUCUGCCCAUUUUUGGAUUGGGUUUUUUUUUUUCUUAUUAUGUCAUAUGAUCUGCUUAUAUAUUCUGGAGAUCAAGCCUUUAUCAGUUUCAUCGUUUGCAAAAAUUUUCUCCCAUUCCACAGGCUGUCGUUUUGUUUUACUUGUGGUUUCCUUUGCUGUGCAGAAGCUUGUAAGUUUAAUUAGGUCCCAUUUGUUUAUUCUUGCUUUUAUUUCUAUUGCUUGGGUAGACUGCCCUAGGAGAACAAUUUGAGAUCUAUGUGAGAGAAUGUUUUGCCUAUAUCUUCUUCUAGGAGGUUUAUUGUAUCUUGUCUAUGUUUAAGUCUUUGAUCCAUUUUGAGUUUAUUUUUGUGUAUGGUGUAAGGGAGUGUUCUAGCUUCACUGAUUUACAUGCUGCUGUCCAGUUUUCCCAACACCUUUUGCUGAAGAGACUGUCUUUACUCCAUUGUAUAUUCUUGCCUCCUUUAUCAAAGAUUAGUUGACCAAAAGUUUCUGGGUUCAUUUCUGGGCUCUCUGUUCUAUUCCAUUGGUCCAUAUGUCUGUUUUUGUACCAAUACCAUGCUGUCUUGAUUACUGUAGCUCUAUAGUAUUGUCUGAAGUCUAGGAGAGUUAUUCCUCCAGCCUCUUUCUUUUUCUUCAGUAAUGCUUUGGCAAUUCUAGGUCUUUUGUGGUUCCAUAUAAAUUUUAUUAUGAUUUGUUCUAGUUCUGUGAAAUAUGUCCUGGGUAAUUUGAUAGGGAUUGCAUUAAAUCUACAGAUUGCCUUGGGCAUUUUAACAAUAUUGAUUCUUCCAAUCCAGGAGCAUGGGAUAUCUUUCCAUUUUUUUUUAAGUCUUCUUUAAUUUACUUCUUCAGUGUUGGUGGGAAUGCAGUUUGGUGCAGCCACUGUGGAAAACAGUAUGGAGAUUCCUCAAAAGACUAGGAAUAGACUUACCAUAUGACCCAGUAAUCCCGCUCCUGGGCAUAUACCCAGAAGUAACCCUACUUCAAAAAGACACCUGCACCCCAAUGUUCAUAGCAGCACUAUUUAUAAUAGCCAAGACAUGGAAACAGCCUAAAUGUGCAUCAACAGAUGACUGGAUAAAGAAGAUGCGGUAUAUUUAUACAAUGGAAUACUAUUCAGCCAUAAAACCCAUCAACAUAAUGCCAUUUGCAGCAACAUGGAUGUUCCUGGAGAAUGUCAUUCUAAGUGAAGUAAGCCAGAAAGAGAAAGAAAAAUACCAUAUGAGAUCGCUCAUAUAUAGAAUCUAAAAAAAAAAAGAAAAGAAGAAAAGAGAACAUAAAUACAAAACAGAAACAGACUCAUAGAUGUAGAAUACAAACUUGUGGUUGCCAAGGGGGCGGUGGGGUGGGAAGCGACAGACUGGGAUUUCAAAAUCUGUAGAUACUGACAGGCAUAUGCAGAAUAGAUAAACAAGGUUAUACUGUAUAGCAGAGGGAAAUAUAUACAAGAUCUUGUGGUAGCUCACAGCGAAAAAAAAUGUGACAAUGAAUAUAUGUAUGUUCAUGUAUAACUGAAAAAUUGUGUUCUACACUGGAAUUUGAUACAACAUUGUAAAAUGACUAUA
Molecule: long non-coding RNA, 8817 nt
Organism: Camelus dromedarius (Arabian camel)
Lineage: Eukaryota; Metazoa; Chordata; Mammalia; Artiodactyla; Camelidae
Exons: 3
Source: RefSeq, a predicted model, not a curated record